CCUAAAAAUCGCUUAAUCUCAACAAUCAUAAUAAUAAUCCUAAUUAAAUCGAUAAAAAGCGAAGAUUGGGAUAUUUAUUGGCGUGAUUAUAAAGGAGAAUUCCCAAAAGAUGCUGACCCCGCCGGAGCGAACUCUGUUUACAUUGGACAGUUAUUUAAGAAGGAUUUUUAUUCCCCGGAUCAAUUUACGCAAAAAUAUCGCCUUGAAAUAUUACGGAAAAUUCGAAGUAACUAAAGAUAUAAAAAUCCUUUGUUCUGGAAACUUAGAUAAAGUGAAAUGGAAACAGAUUCAUGUCGAUAAUCUUCCUAAAAACCUCGUAAAUACAACCAUCGAAGGAAACCGAUUUUAAUUGGUAUAUUAGAAAAACGUUCCAUGAGAAUCAAUGGGGGGUUAAUUUUUGAGUUGAAUUCGAAAUAAAAUUGAGUGAAUAUAAUUAAAGGUUAACAAGUUUAUUGAAACGAUUUGAAAUAACCUUGAUGUCCUUGGGAGAAUAAUUUAAUCCAUUUAAUUUGUUAUGAAAAGGCGUGUAUGGAAGACAUUUUAAUGGAAAUUAAUCUAAAGAUACCAUGGAUGCUGAAAAAUCGGUUAAAACGUUAGUUUUAACGUUCGUUGAGAUUUUUUUUAACUUUGAUAACCAUUAAUCGGACGAAAAGGGUUUUUAUUUUGGAAUAAUACGGAAAAUAAAAAAUAUAAGGAUUUAUCAAGUUGAAUAGAAAAGGCGUUUGUUGAAGAGAUUUUAAUGAAAAUUAACCUAAGGAUACCAUGGAUGCUGGAAAAUUAAUUAAAACCCAGGUUCCUCAAGAUUUUUUUUAACUCCAAUAACCAUUAAUCGGAAAAAAAGGAUUUUUAUUUCGGAAUAAUAAGGAAAAUAAGAAAUGCAAGGAUUUAUCAAGAAAAAACACGUAUUGAAGAGAUUUUAAUGGAAAUUCACCUAUAGAAUAUCAGGAAUGCUGGAAAAUCUAUUAAAACCGAGGUUUGUCAAGAUUUUUGUUAACUCCUAUAUCUAUUAAUUGAAAGAAAAGGAUUUCUGUUUAGGAAUAACACGGAAAAUAAGAAAUAAAAGGAUUUAUGAAGAAAAAACACGUAUUGAAGAGAUUUUAAUGGAAAUUCACCUAUAGAAUAUCAGGAAUGCUGGAAAAUCUAUUAAAACCGAGGAUUUCUGUUUAGGAAUAACACGGAAAAUAAGAAAUAAAAGGAUUUAUGAAGAAAAGGCGUGUAUGGAGGAGAUUUUAAUGAAAAUUAAUCUAAAGAUACCAUGAAUGCUGAAAAAUCGAUUAAAACGUUAGUUUUAACGUUCGUUGAGAUUUUUUUUAACUUCAAUAACCAUUAAUCGGACGAAAAGGAUUUUUGUUUCGGAAUAAUGCGGAAAAUAAAAAAUAUAAGGAUUUAUCAAGUUGAAUAGAAAAGGCGUUUGUUGAAGAGAUUUAAAUGAAAAUUAACCUAAGGAUACCAUGGAUGCUGGAAAAUCAAUUAAAACCGAGGUUCCUCAAGAUUUUUUUUAACUCCCAUAACCAUUAAUCGGAAAAAAAGGAUUUUUGUUUUGGAAUAAUAAGGAAAAUAGGAAAUGAAAGGAUUUAUCAAGAAAAAACACUUAUUGAACAGAUUUUAAUGGAAAUUCACCUAUAGAUAUCAGGAAUGCUGGAAAAUCUAUUAAAACCGAGGUUCGUCAAGAUUUUUGUUAACUCCUAUAUCUAUUAAUUGGAAGAAAAGGAUUUUUGUUUUGGAAUAACAGGGAAAAUAAGAAAUAAAAGGACUUGUGAAGAAAAGGCGCUUAUUGAUGAGGUUUGAAUGGAAAUUAACCUAAGGUUACCAUGGAUACUGAACAGUCAAUUACAACCAAGGUUCAUCAAGAUUUUUUUUUAACUCCAGUAACAAUUAAUCAGAAGAAAAUGGUUUUUGUUUAUUUGUUUAUAUCUAAUUAGGAAUAAAAGGAUAUAUCAAGGUAAGAAAUAAACAUACAUUCACAAUUAAUUAAA
RNAcentral lists this long non-coding RNA (1976 nucleotides) under Onthophagus taurus. RNAcentral describes it as "uncharacterized LOC111417061, transcript variant X5". Lineage: Eukaryota; Metazoa; Arthropoda; Insecta; Coleoptera; Scarabaeidae. The record is from RNAcentral.